This 491-nucleotide ribosomal RNA is filed under the name uncultured bacterium. RNAcentral describes it as "partial 16S ribosomal RNA". It matches the Rfam family "Bacterial small subunit ribosomal RNA", at positions 29 to 507 of the family's 1533-position model. The record is from RNAcentral.
GUGCACGCUGGCGGAAGGCCUAACACAUGCAAGUCGAACGGCAGCACCGUAAGAGCUUGCUCUUACGGGUGGCGAGUGGCGGACGGGUGAGGAAUACAUCGGAAUCUACUUUUUCGUGGGGGAUAACGUAGGGAAACUUACGCUAAUACCGCAUACGACCUACGGGUGAAAGCAGGGGAUCUUCGGACCUUGCGCGAUUGAAUGAGCCGAUGUCGGAUUAGCUAGUUGGCGGGGUAAAGGCCCACCAAGGCGACGAUCCGUAGCUGGUCUGAGAGGAUGAUCAGCCACACUGGAACUGAGACACGGUCCAGACUCCUACGGGAGGCAGCAGUGGGGAAUAUUGGACAAUGGGCGCAAGCCUGAUCCAGCCAUACCGCGUGGGUGAAGAAGGCCUUCGGGUUGUAAAGCCCUUUUGUUGGGAAAGAAAAGCAGCAGGUUAAUACCCCGCUGUUCUGACGGUACCCAAAGAAUAAGCACCGGCUAACUUCGUG